GCAAUGCAGCGUGAAGGCAGCACCGAGGCACGGCCUGUCCCCCACGUAACCCUCAGUCCCCGCCCCUCCAUGCAAUUCAGCCGGCAGGCGGCUGCCAAUAGGGAGGCGAGCUGGGCUGUUGUAUUUAUAGACGCUAUUUAAAGAGCCCCUGGGAGUCUCCGAGCGGCGCUGGGCGGUGGUGGCGGCUGGGGAGAGUGUGGGGAGGGGCGGCACGCGCGGCCAACCGCCGCUACGGGCUGAGGCGGGCCCACAGGGAGGAGGGGAACGUGACCCAGAGCAGCUCGGAUACAUCGCCCUUAUGGAUCGCCUCCCUUCGGCCCUGGGGUGGUGGCGAGCUCAUUCGCUGCUCCCUUGUUAAAGAACGGCCGUGCCUUUUUUUCUUUUCUUUCUCUUGUAUUUUUUUUUUGAGGCCGCAAUGGAGAUGCAGCGUCUCACGGUGCUCGUGUCGUUUCAAGGAGGCGAUGAAAGGCAGCGCUUUGUCAUCGCUGUGCAGCCGAUGGGAGCGAUGAGCUGCUGCUCGCACUCAGUCAGAGCUGAGGAAUGGCCACCUGAGCGCUGCCCUGUCCAUUGCCCUGUCCACAAACAGAGCCGCCGCUCUGUGACUCUAUCAGCAAUAACUGCGUUUCCUUGUGCAGUCUGAGUCACGGUGUGAAGUCCUACCGAAACACCACCCCCCCACACACACACACACACACCUGGAGACAAAGCUCUGUGUUUGUAGGUGUGUUUUUGUACAAACCCUCCCCCCCAGCUGAUGGCUGCCCGCAGCACCGCAGAGCACCGGCUCUGUAGUAAACUGCAAAUGUCUUCUGCUGUGUUUUAAAGGAAAUAAGCUCCAGAGUGUGCCUGGUAGCGAGGCAACCUGCAGGCUGCUGACUGGGUGGAGAGGUGAGGGAUGGGGGCAGGAACUGCUCCUAAUACUCAGCAUGCCUAAAGGUAGGCUGAAAGGCUUCCCUCUGGCUUUUAUUUGGGUUUCCUCAAGCAACCAAGAAAGGGGGAAGGAAAACAAAACCAAAACAUUGCAGGGGGGGAAAAAAAGCCCAACACAACCACACAAAAAUGCAGCCCGCAGCCCACCGCUGUGUAGAGAACUGACUGACCGCAGGCUUCCAGGAGCCUCAAAUAUGCAUUGCUAGUUCCUGGCCAACCAUUUGCUUUGAUGGUGCUGAGAGUGAGCAGAUUGACUUGACCCCUGUUUUGUUUGUGCCUGACGGUUGUUUCCAGGAUGAAACGUAAGUGGAGCUGGGGAAGGGAGAGGCACUGCGAGUAAAUCAGUAAAAAGCAGCAGAUCUCUCAUGCUUGCACUCUUAACCUUACAUCUGAUGCCCGUGCAAUCAGUUCAGAGAUUUUAGUUGUGUUUUGGUCAGGCCUUCCACGAACCUUUAUGCUAAAAUGCUGUAAUGGGUAAAGUACAUCUUAUGAGAGUUUUUUGAGACACUUAGGCUGCCAGUUUCCUUUCCUGUCAAGGAUCUCAUUGCUGCCACAGUGGGAGAGAGGAUGAAACAUAUUUCACAGAUGGAAUGUUCUUCAAGCGAGCUGUUUCAGUUUGGUUGUAGCUUUUUCCCCCUCUGCUUACUCUAACCCUAUUACUUGCACUUCUGUUGGCAUCUACUGUAAAAAUGACUGCGAUGUCUAAAUUUGGUUUUAAAGUUCUGUAUUUUAAGACACCCUGCAGUUUAAGUGAAUACAGGGAAAUUUGUCUACUGAGCUCCUUUUAGUGCGUGACAUUGCCCAGAUCAGCAAUUCUGCAGCUUCUUUGUGUUCUGAAUUGUACAUCAUAAUCGAUGAAAGCACAAACCAGAAGUGUGGAGUUACCCUUGUUGUGAAGUGUCAUUGGCAAAUGCCAUCUGCCCAGCAGUUGUAAUACAAAGGAUGCUCAGUCUCCACCCUGUUCCUCGGUAUGCACAAAGAUGUGAACAGCUUUCACUUUUAAAAUGAGCAGAUAUUGGGGGCUGAGUGCAUGUCCAAAUGUGUUGGAGCAGGAGAGCAGAGGCAGAUGCUUAUAGCAGACCCCUGUGGCUGAUGAGCAGAAGGCUUGUCCUGCAGGGCAAGGUCAGGUGGAGAGGAAGGUCUUGUGCUGACAGAAGGGAGGAAAACAAGCUCCAUCUGUGACUGUGCAGUAAGCCUGCUGGAGGGCUGGUACUGAAAUCCAGGAACCCCGUAUGUGUGCUGGUGGAGACUGGUACUUGCUGGUGAGCAGCCUGAGAUGGGGAACGAUGCUGAAUUCUCUCUGUUCCUCUUUCAGACUCUUCCCUGUGUUUGUUAGCCUACUCAAGACUCAUUCUACUUGUCAACCCUGAAGCAGUUUUUGUUUGUUUUUUUUGUUGGUUGGUUUAUUGCCACCCCUGAGAACUGAAUAGCGUAGGAUAUACUGCAGGGUGUGUGUCCUGUUACCAGACUUGCAGCUCCAUUGGUAUCAAAUCCCCCAUAGCACACAUCUGAUUACCAUAGCUAUAUACUGUGUCCAGACCAAGACUUGUGCUAGUGAGUCUCUUUAGUAGAGAUGCUGAAUAUUAUUCAAGUAAUUGUAGCAAUAUAUAUAAUAUAUAAAGGAAGGAAUGUGGUUUUACUUUCUUGCAAAUGUUUAAGUUAGGGAUUCUCUCAACGUACAAGUGAUCUGGCUUAAACUGCAUUGGCAGAAUUAAAGCAGUGUGGGGCCUGUGGCAAGUUUACUGUUACACUGGCUUUUGCAAAAAGGAGUAUUCAAGCCUUCUUUGGAAUAGUGUUCAGACUACUUUAGUGUACAUUUUUCAGCCCUUAAGUUGCACUGGUCUUUCAUUCCUCAUACCAGCUUGAGUUGUGUCUAUCAGCCUUGGGUCUGAGGGCAUCUGAGCAUGCGAAAAGGAGUCAGAGUUCAAGAACUGGACUUUGAGUUGUGAGUUUGGCUUGCCAUCUGCUCAGCGGGCUCAAGGAACUGGAGGAGUCCAGGUCUUCCAUGCUUUAAGUGAAAUAAUGAAAACUAAGUCACGAUGAUGUUGCCAAAAACAGUGCUCUGCCUGCUGAAAUGCUGCUGCCUCAUGAGAACCGCAGAAAACUUGGCUCAGUUUUCACUUCCUUCAAAGUGUGCCCAGAUGGGACUCUGGGAGAAUAAAAGGACACAUCAGAGGAAAAACUGGAUCUGCAGUUGCUCUCUUCAAGAGCCCUGCUGAUUGGUUGAUUGGUUGGUUGGUUGAUUUUCAGAGCUGGAAAGGAUGUAUUUGUCUUUUCUUCCCCUCUUCUCCCAUCACAAUGGCUGCAGAUUAAAGCUGUUUGUAUUUUAAUAAUUUCCAUAGCAACAUCUCAUCAGCAUUAAUUUGGCUAAAAGAAAAAAAAAAAAAGCUGUGUUUUAUAUGUGGUAUUACAGUAAAGUCUAUAACACAUCACUCAUAGAAGGUGUUUGGAAAUGUGUGUGAAAAAAAAAAAGGUAAGGAAAUCAGAGAAAAUCGUAUUUUAUAAAGUCAGGUAAAGUUGCUGGCAGUUGGUAGCAGUGAAGAGAUAAUAGAAAAUAGGGUUGGUUUGUUUGUUUUAUGAAAAUAUACAAUAUUUAAUUCAGAAGUGUAGAGCUGGAAUAGCAGCCUCUAUAUACAUAGCAAGGAAUAGCUGCUCUGUACUAUUUUUUUCAUGUGGAUGAGUCCAUGUGGCUUUAGCAUAGGCUACUUUGGAAACCACAAACAGGCUCUUUCAGUACAGAGUAUGAGCAUCCACAUGGGCACUUAGACCACAGGAACUAAAUUCACACCCUGGCAAGUGUCACAACAGAUUCCCCAAACAGUAACAAGUAAUUGCUGUGAGCUGGCUGCUGUUGAGAGAGACCUGAAGGACUUCCAUGGUGGAGAGGUGGUUAGUGUCACUUGAAGGCUAAAAGAGCUUGAAGCGACGGAAGAGGAAAUGACUCAGGGUAAGAGGAAAAUCAACUGAUGGCACUGUUUAUUAAAGGAGGUGGAGGAAAAAUAAGCGUAACAUCAUCAUGUCUGUGCAAAGUAUUUCCAAGGUAUGAAAUUGCCAGCAUGAAUUAUGUAUCAGUAUACCAGAGAAUCCUGUAUUUAGAACACAGAUAGACAAUAGCUGAAACGUUGUUGUUUUUCCCCUGGCCUCCCCUCCCUUUUCCUCUCCUCCCACCCACUCUUUUUCUCCUUUGUAAACUCUGGUGGUUUAGAUAAACUGAAACAUUGAUCUAGCCUCAUCUCCCAUUAGAGUCUGCAAAAGGAAAUAUCUGCAAGCAAGAUGUUAUAUAACCAGUACCAGUUAACCAUGUGCAGCCUUCCUUUAUAGGGACUCCUCUGUUGUGGAUUCAACCUUCAAGUUAUGCAUUUUCAGUACAAGUAGAACGUACAAUUUGAAAAUGGAAGUAUAAACAGUCUGCCUCAUUUAUUUGUACCCCAAUUUGUAAAAUGAACAACAGCAGCACAACCACUUUCAUUAGUCUGACAGUAAACCAAACCAAACCAAAACAGCCUUGAAAUGAGCAAAAAGCAGUUCGAUAUGUCAUUUAUAGGAAUCCCUUCACACAAAGAGGUUUCAAAGCCAUUGAUGUACACUGUGCUCUGAGCCAAUUUUUACUCCCUUUUGUGUCUGUGUCUGAAGUAGAGCACAUUCUGACAGACUCCGUACAUUCACGUUGUAUGAGCUUUGUAAAAAGCAAACCUGCAAUGUAGAAACUGCUGCACAGGUUUAUAUUUUAUUUAAUAUUUUAAAUGAAGUAAGGGAGCUAAGCAGACAGAAUGCAUUUGUUAGCUGUAGUUUUGUCUGGGUUUGGGGCUUAAUAUUACUCUUGUUAGUCUGGGGAAAGCUUGGAACAGGCUAGGAAGUAGGAUUUAGGUAAAAGUUACUAUUAUUUUAUAUAGGAGCCAGCCUUCUAUGUAGUAGGCUAGAAGACAUCAGCGUUCACAAGAAAGAGCUAAAUCAAGUGUGUAAUUUGGUGCCUGGCAGUUCGUAUAGACACAAACACACCCGUUGUGGUCAGUUUCUAUGUUUGGGGAUAGGGCACGCUACUUUGUUGUGCUUAUGCUUGAAAACUGUCCUCCCAGCAUUAGACUUUGUGACACUGGCUUCUUUCCUCAAGCAUCUGAGCUAUUUGUUUGCCGCAUUUUCGUUAUAACAAGUUUAGCAGCGAAGAAGCCUGCUUUGAAAAAGCGCAUUUGAUAAAGACAAUAGCAUCUGUUAAGGUUAAAUGCCACGCAAAAUACUUCAAAAAAUGCGUAACUAUUCUUGAAAUGCUGCUAAAGAAAAGAUGCAUUCUUACCCUGCCCCCACACAGCUGAAACUCUGCUUUGCAAUGUUUCUCCGUUGUAGCUCAUGCAUUGAGCGUAGGAUUUGUGUACCUUCUCCUUUCCAUAGAGCAGCUUGUUUAAAUGAAAAUGCAUGCCUGUUUUGCUCUAUAAAAAUAAGUUAUUUCUACAGUCUCUUUUGCUUCUGUUCAAAACAGAUCUUCUCUCAUUACCUGCUUCUGUCACGGUACAACUGUUAGUUGUGCACACAUUCGAAGAGAAAGGCAGCAAUUAAACAACGUAGGUAUUGAUUUCAUUGCCAACUAAAGCCUGGAUUCCUGUUUCAGUGUGAUCCUGUACGCUACUAUGCACAGCUGCUGUCACUCCAAGACCCGUGUCUAAGUUAAACAUAAAUGUAGGUGGAACAUUUGUGUGUGUGUGUGUAAGUGUGCAAAUAUACAUGCGUAUGGACAGAUAUGCUCUGAAAUCAAGGGAAGUCAAUGGGAAGACUCAGCACUGACAUCACUGUGCUUUAUGUUAAGAUUUACCUCUGUAAAAAUUGAUUUUUCUUCCCUUUUGCCUUUAAUGCGUCACCAAACAGGAGUUAUGUUUGUCUCUAUGCAAUGUCUUGCACAAUACAGCUUUUGAAUAGGAUUUUACUGAUUCCUGCAUAUGAAUGUAUGUGAUACAAUUCUGUACUCACCUAGCCAGCCUUUAUCUUGUUUCUCCCUAAAACAAAGAAACUGCAGAACAGAAUAGACUCAAUUAAAGUCAGCUGAAUUAGAUUUCUGUAAUGCACUCCAACUAUUGUUUGUUCACGCCUACAUACACAAUCUCUGUUUUUGAUUGUACUAUGACACUAAUUCUUUCUCUGCCUUCAGUCAAUGAGUAUUUUUGUAAUUAAGGUGUAAAGGAUGGACAUAAACUGGAAAGUUUGGGUGCAAAUAUGAUCGUAUCUUUUUAAGGAGUAAAGUUAAUUUUAAGCUUUUUUUU
This is a long non-coding RNA of Coturnix japonica (Japanese quail), 6179 nucleotides long. RefSeq lists it as uncharacterized. The record is from RefSeq and is a predicted model, not a curated record. NCBI's taxonomy places the organism in Eukaryota, Metazoa, Chordata, Aves, Galliformes, Phasianidae.